CUAAGCUUAAACCUAGCACUAAAACUAAACCUAAGCUUAAACCUAGCACUAAAACUAAACCUAAGCUUAAACCUAGCACUAAAACUAAACCUAAGCUUAAACCUAGCUAACACUAAUGCCUUGGGAUAUUACCAUGGUCCAAUAGCACACACACACACACACACACACACACACACACACACACACACACACACACACACACACACACACACACACACACACACACACACACACACACACACACACACACACACACACACACACACACACACACACACAGAUACAGGAAACUCCAUAGUCACAUGACAGGGUACAGGAAGUUCCAGUUAGUCCUGUAGGGAAAGGCACCAGCAUGGUUCAUCUGCAGUGUUUUAACAUGCAUUGUCAUGUAAAACAUUGAACCUCGUAAUCAAAUUUGUUCAGUCUUAUUUUUAUCUGCCUUCCAAAAUGUUUUUUAUUCUGCAGGAUUGCGCCCUCCCCUGUACUGGGUUAGGAUAGUACCCUCCCCAUCCCUGUACUGGGUUAGGAUAGUACCCUCCCCCAUCCCUGUCCUGGGUUAGGAUAGUACCCUCCCCUGUACUGGGUUAGGAUAGUACCCUCCCCAUCCCUGUACUGGGUUAGGAUAGUACCCUCCCCUGUACUGGGUUAGGAUAGUACCCUCCCCAUCCCUGUACUGGGUUAGGAUAGUACCCUCCCCAUCCCUGUACUGGGUUAGGAUAGUACCCUCCCCUGUACUGGGUUAGGAUAGUACCCUCCCCAUCCCUGUACUGGGUUAGGAUAGUACCCUCCCCUGUACUGGGUUAGGAUAGUACCCUCCCCAUCCCUGUACUGGGUUAGGAUAGUACCCUCCCCUGUACUGGGUUAGGAUAGUACCCUCCCCUGUACUGGGUUAGGAUAGUACCCUCCCCUGUACUGGGUUAGGAUAGUACCCUCCCCAUCCCUGUACUGGGUUAGGAUAGUACCCUCCCCAUCCCUGUCCUGGGUUAGGAUAGUACCCUCCCCAUCCCUGUACUGGGUUAGGAUAGUACCCUCCCCUGUACUGGGUUAGGAUAGUACCCUCCCCGUCCCUGUACUGGGUUAGGAUAGUACCCUCCCCUGUACUGGGUUAGGAUAGUACCCUCCCCAUCCCUGUACUGGGUUAGGAUAGUACCCUCCCCAUCCCUGUACUGGGUUAGGAUAGUUCCCUCCCCAUCCCUGUACUGGGUUAGGAUAGUACCCUCCCCUGUACUGGGUUAGGAUAGUACCAUCCCCAUCCCUGUACUGGGUUAGGAUAGUACCCUCCCCUGUACUGGGUUAGGAUAGUACCCUCCCCAUCCCUGUACUGGGUUAGGAUAGUACCCUCCCCAUCCCUGUACUGGGAUAGUACCCUCCCCUGUACUGGGUUAAGAUUAGGUUACUGUAUGUGUUGAGUGGCGGUUUUGUUUGACAGAUUGUCAAGACUAUCCGUUUUAUUCUGGUUGUGAUUUAAGACUGUACAUUUUAUUCUGAUUGUGAAGGAGGAACUCCCAUUUCUAUUUGAUGAUUAAUUCAGGUCAGAUUAUUAUUUGUCUAUUACAGUAAGGCUUGUUGAGUAUCUGGGUGUAUUACAUAGUGUGUUUUCUCUUUUAAGGGCCAUAUUCUUCUCCCUCAUGACACUAUCUAACCCUAACCCAAUAAGGGCUUGGUGAGGGUAUCCAGAUGUAUUAUUAUCAGGUGUAUGGACAGUUUAUUAGGUACACCCAUCUAGUACCGGGUCGGACCCCCAUUUGCCUCCAGAACAGCCUGAAUUCUUCGAGCAUGGAUUCUACAAGUCGGAAAUGUUCCACAGGGAUGUUGGUCCAUGCUGACGCGAUGGCAUCAUGCAGUUGCUGCAGAUUGGACAGCGGUCCACCACCACCAGCCUGUACUGCUGACACCAGGCAGGACGGGUCCAUGGACUCAUGCUGUUUACGCCAAAUCCUGACUCUGCCAUCAGCCUGUACCGCUGACACCAGGCAGGAUGGGUCCAUGGACUCAUGCUGUUUACACCAAAUCCUGACUCUGCCAUCAGCCUGUACCGCUGACACCAGGCAGGAUGGGUCCAUGGACUCAUGCUGUUUACACCAAAUCCUGACUCUGCCAUCAGCCUAUACCGCUGACACCAGGCAGGAUGGGUCCAUGGACUCAUGCUGUUUACACCAAAUCCUGACCAGGCAAUAUUUCUACACUUCUCAAUUGUCCAGUGUUGGUGAUCGCGUGCCCACUGGAGCCCUGUGUGGUUGUCUGCUGCAAUAGCCGAUCCGUGAAGGAUCCACGAGUUGUGUGUUCCGAGAUGCCGUUCUGUACACCACUGUUGUUCUGCGUUGUGAUUUGUCUGUUUGUGGUCCGCUUGCGUGAUUCUUGCCGUUCUCCUUCGACCUCUCUCAUCAAUGAGCUGUUUUUGCCCACAGGACUGCCGCUGACUGAAUGUUUUUUGUUGGUCAAACCGUUCUCGGUAAAGGUCGUCUGCUGUUUCUGAGAGACUGUAUCCGGCGUGCCUGGCACUGACCAUCGUUGCUUAGGUCUCUUGUUUUGCCUAUUCUAACGUUCAAUCCAACAGUAACUCAAUGCCUCAAUGCCUAUAUGCAUGCUAUAUAUAGCAAGCAACGGCCACGUUACCCACUGUCUGGAGCGAUCCGUUUUGGAGAACUAGGUGCUGUACCUAAUAAACUGGCUGAUGUAUAUCAAGGUGUAUCAUACCAUUGUUUUCCUCUGUAAGUGUUCUGUUCCUCUGGGGCCUGAUGACAUCCUUACAGGAACACCUGAGAUCUGACCGCUCUUUACAGUUUCUAAUACAAUUUACUACUGAAAUGCCCAUGGUGUCUGUGUCAUUUAAUCGAUUCAUCAAAAAUGUCUGUAUGUACAGUCGCUAAUGAAAGAAUACACACCCUUUUCAUAUUUUGCUGCCUUAAAAUUUUAUCUAAAAAGGGAUUACAUUCGAUUUUUACCCCACCAAUCUACACUACCUACUCCACAUGUUUUAAGUGAAAGAAACAUUUUAGAAAAUGUUCCAAAUUAAUAAAAACAUUCAAAUGAA
RNAcentral lists this long non-coding RNA (3034 nucleotides) under Salmo salar (Atlantic salmon). RNAcentral describes it as "lncRNA (ENSSSAG00000088210.1)". Lineage: Eukaryota; Metazoa; Chordata; Actinopteri; Salmoniformes; Salmonidae. The record is from RNAcentral.